Molecule: transfer RNA, 93 nt
Filed under: Penicillium brasilianum
Lineage: Eukaryota; Fungi; Ascomycota; Eurotiomycetes; Eurotiales; Aspergillaceae
Description: tRNA-Thr
Rfam family: tRNA
About the family: Transfer RNA (tRNA) molecules are approximately 80 nucleotides in length. Their secondary structure includes four short double-helical elements and three loops (D, anti-codon, and T loops).
Source: RNAcentral
GCUCGUGUGGCAAAGUGGUACCGCGUUCCACUCGUAUUCGUAUUCGAAAAGCGUUAAUGGAAAGAUUCGUCGGUUCGAUCCCGACCGCGAGCA